RNAcentral lists this ribosomal RNA (473 nucleotides) under uncultured organism. Its description in RNAcentral is "partial 16S ribosomal RNA". It matches the Rfam family "Bacterial small subunit ribosomal RNA", at positions 332 to 797 of the family's 1533-position model. The record is from RNAcentral.
UACACUCCUACGGGAGGCAGCAGUGGGGAAUUUUGGACAAUGGGCGAAAGCCUGAUCCAGCAAUGCCGCGUGUGUGAAGAAGGCCUUCGGGUUGUAAAGCACUUUUGUCCGGAAAGAAAUCCUUGGCUCUAAUACAGUCGGGGGAUGACGGUACCGGAAGAAUAAGCACCGGCUAACUACGUGCCAGCAGCCGCGGUAAUACGUAGGGUGCGAGCGUUAAUCGGAAUUACUGGGCGUAAAGCGUGCGCAGGCGGUUUGCUAAGACCGAUGUGAAAUCCCCGGGCUCAACCUGGGAACUGCAUUGGUGACUGGCAGGCUAGAGUAUGGCAGAGGGGGGUAGAAUUCCACGUGGAGCAGUGAAAUGCGUAGAGAUGUGGAGGAAUACCGAUGGCGAAGGCAGCCCCCUGGGCCAAUACUGACGCUCAUGCACGAAAGCGUGGGGAGCAAACAGGAUUAGAUACCCUAGUAGUCCC